UACGUCAUCAAGCUCAGUUUGAGUCUGCGCACCAGUUUGGCAGCGACUCGUGAGGUUGGUGUGACGGAAACGCCGUGAGCUUUGUUGGGAUCUCAUUUCUUUUGUUUAACUUUCUGUCAGUAACAAAGUCUAGAUUUUUAUAAUCGUAGUCAAUGGAAGAGCUCAACAUAGUGUUUUAACGACGACGUCUGAUGCAUUUUCUUUUAGAUCAGCGUAAAUGCAUGCUUCUUUUGUUUAGCUUUUCAACCGGUGUGACAAAACGCUAACUUUUCUUGUUUGUAACAUUGCGAACUGCAGUUUGCUUUACGUGCACUUCUUUUCUGUUUUAGUUUGAGGUGUGUUUGGUGAUUCAGUGUCAGUGACGGAGGGAGAUUCUUCAAAAGUGACACAAUGACACUACUUUAACAACUCAUGCGAGCCGGUGUGUGUGUAUUAGGAGGGAGAUUCACACAAGUUUGAGUGUUUUCAGCA
This is a long non-coding RNA of Carassius carassius (crucian carp), 471 nucleotides long. RefSeq lists it as uncharacterized. The transcript is spliced from 4 exons. Lineage: Eukaryota; Metazoa; Chordata; Actinopteri; Cypriniformes; Cyprinidae. The record is from RefSeq and is a predicted model, not a curated record.